UACGGAGGAUCCGAGCGUUAUUCGGAUUUACUGGGUUUAAAGGGUGCGUAGGCGGGCGCUUAAGUCAGCGGUGAAAUGCGGGGGCUCAACCUUCGGACGGCCGUUGAUACUGGGCGCCUUGGAUUCGGUCGAGGCGGGCGGAAUGCGGCAUGUAGCGGUGAAAUGCUUAGAUAUGUCGCAGAACGCCGAUUGCGAAGGCAGCUCGCCGGGCCGAUAUUGACGCUGCGGCACGAAAGCGUGGGGAUCGAACAGGAUUAGAUACCCUGGUAGUCCACGCCGUAAACGAUGAUGGCUGGAUGUUGGCGAUACACCGUCAGCGUCUGAGGAAAACCAUUAAGCCAUCCACCUGGGGAGUACGGCCGCAAGGCUGAA
Molecule: ribosomal RNA, 372 nt
Filed under: uncultured bacterium
Lineage: Bacteria
Description: bacterial SSU rRNA
Rfam family: Bacterial small subunit ribosomal RNA
Source: RNAcentral